This 426-nucleotide ribosomal RNA is filed under the name uncultured bacterium. RNAcentral's name for it is "bacterial SSU rRNA". It matches the Rfam family "Bacterial small subunit ribosomal RNA", at positions 358 to 775 of the family's 1533-position model. The record is from RNAcentral.
GGAAUCUUGCGCAAUGGGGGAAACCCUGACGCAGCAACGCCGCGUGAGUGAGGAAGGUCUUCGGAUCGUAAAGCUCUGUCAGUUGGAAAGAAAUGUCUGAGAGUCAAUCCCUUUCAGGCUUGACGGUACCAACAGGGGAAGCACCGGCUAACUCCGUGCCAGCAGCCGCGGUAAUACGGGGGGUGCAAGCGUUGUUCGGAAUUAUUGGGCCUAAAGAGCGUGUAGGCGGCCGGAUAUGUCAGAUGUGAAAGCCCUGGGCUCAACCCAGGAAGUGCAUUUGAAACUGUGCGGCUCGAGUAGGGGAGAGGGAAGUGGAAUUCCUGGUGUAGAGGUGCAAUUCGUAGAUAUCAGGAGGAACACCGGUGGCGAAGGCGACUUCCUGGCCCUAUACUGACGCUGAGACGAGAGAGCGUGGGUAGCAAACAG